UGUACUUUGAAAGGUGUUCAUGAAGGAGAGCUUAGAGAUAACCUUUCCAGAACCCAUGUUGUCAUCACUGAGUUAUUCAACAUUUAUCCCAUUUAAAAUGCAGGAAUUGAAUUAUUGGUUUAAAAGUUAGGAGCUUUUUCUGUUUAAGGUAUUUAAUUUAAUAAUUUCGGUUUGAUUCUUCAGAGCAAUAAGUUUGGAAACUACAUUUCUUCUGCUUGAGCAAUAUUUUGAAUUUUUCUCCGAACUUCAUACCAUAGGAUUUAUUAAAUUAAGAAUAUAUCUUCUUUUAAUUGAGAACCAGCGCCGUUCCGAAAUAAUAUUUUCUAUUUUCAUAUGAAUGUUACAGUUAUCUUUUUACUUUAAUUUAAUUUAGAUUGAUGGAAAAAUCUCAGUUUCUUUAUUUUGUUUCAUAAAAUUGAUUUGUAAGAAAACUUUUCAUAAUUUGGUUAUCCAGAGGAAGUCAGAAGUAUUCUACUUGUGUAAAUAAGUAUCAUAUUUAUACCUGUGGCGUAAUUUUUUAAGAUAAUUAUGUUGACCGAUAAUGAAUCGCUGGAGGAUGUGAAAAAAGAAGCUUUCGAAAUCUGCCGAAGCUUUUUGCUAGGGCCAUGGAAGACAUUAAAGAUGGAAAACUUUAGGUUUUCUGCUGUAAGAUGGCUUGACGACAUUGAAGGAGAACUCCUGAAAAGAAACGAAUCAUUUUCGAAAAGACAGUGGUACGAAGAGGAAUUUGAAUGGCUAAAAAAAGAAAUGGAGAAAAUAAAUUCACCUAUCGUAUACUGCCAUAAUGACCUCCAUGGAGGAAAUAUUUUACUUCGAGAAAAUGCAUUAAAAAUUAGCGAACCUGACAUCAUAUUAAUCGAUUUCGAAUUCGGUGGAUACAAUUACAGACUCGAAUACCAUGCAGGAUUCUCAACCAAUGAGGAAUAGAUGUCGUGUCAUUUGAGCCGAGAAUGAGUCUUCUGUGUUUCACCCAGUUCCUGGAACAAAAAUAUAUAUUUUUAUAUAUCAAAAGAAAGAAUGACGACGUAUAAAAAAUAAGCAUUUCGAAAAUUGGUUAUUUGUGUUAGGUUGGAAGUUGCCCUGGAGUCAGACUUAAAUAACAAACGCGUGUUUUGUUUUGAUUUAUUCGCUUCACUUCGUGUCAGACAUGGAGGCAUUCAGUUGAAAAACAACACCUAGCUUUCAUUCAUUGACAGAGCAAAAUCGUAAUGCAAGAUUAAUUCUUCCAUUAAAAAAUGAUUCACUCAAAACCAAUUGUAUUUUUUGAAAUAAUCCAAACAGAAAAGCAGAACAUCUAUGAACCCAAAAACACUUUCGUUGAACAUGGACCUAAAUUUAAAAAUCAUGAAGAAGCUACUAUUUUUCUAAAACAAAGAACAGAAAGGCAGCUAGAUAAGUGUCAGAUACAGAAAACAUUCGGAGAAAAUGCUAUUUCAGUUUCUAAGUUUGACUCUUUAACUACGAGAACAGGGCCAGAAAGUUUUGUUGGCUGCCUUAAGGAAUCUGCUGCAAAUUCUGAAGUAGAAGUGAAGGAGCAGCAGGAUCUAUAUCAGCCAUAUAAAGCUUUUAGUAAGGAACAUAGUUUUCUUGAGUUAGCAUCUAUAUCAAAUUUAAUAUCUAAAGAAGAGAAUAUUAAAGAAACGAAACGUCUUGUAGCUUUUCCGACACGUAGGAUGGAAUGGCAGCUAGAUACGUAUCAGUUACAGAAAUCAUACGGAGAAAAUGUUGUUUCGUAUUUUAACUUAGAUCCUUCAACUAAGAAUCCAGGAUCAGAGAGUUUCCUUGGCUGCUGUAAGAAAUCUUUUGAAAAUUCUGAAAUGAAAGAACAACUAAAUAAAUGUCAUCCAGCUGAUGCUUUGAGUGGAAAAGCUAGUUUUGAUACUGAGUUAUCACCUAUAUCAAAUACAAUACCUAUGAAAGAAGAUAUUGAAGGUACAAAAUCUCUUCUGAAUAUUCGACCUAAUUAUGCUCAGAGUGGAAUCAAAGGGAACCAUACAGUUUCAAAGAAACGAUCUGCCAGGGGUAUUCGCAAGGUCUACAAGUGCUGCUUCUGCUAUUAUGCCACCACUAGAAGCGAUAGAUUGGCAAGACAUAAGGUAUUCAUUCACUCAAAAGCAUCCUGUUAUGAAUGUUAUAUCUGCAAAUUCAAAUCCACCUACAACCAUGAGUACUAUUUACAUAUGAAGCAGCACUUUGGAAAUUCUCCUUACAUGUGCCCGUUGUGCAAUUAUACUACCAGGAUCAUAUCAGCAUUUGUAACUCAUAGAAUCACUCACACAAACCAUCAUAUUUUCCAGUGUCAUCAGUGUGCUUACAAGUGCAAAAGAAAACACCAUUUGACUCAGCACGCCAGUGCACAUACUAGGGAAGCGCCGUUUCAGUGUACGUAUUGCGAAAAAAGAUAUAAACAUAACUGCAGUUUAAAAAAACACUUGCUGUCACACAUGAGGAAAACAUAAAUCUUUUGCCAUCAUGCAUAGAAUUUAUGAACAUAUAAGAACAGAACUUAAGACCCAAUAAUCAUUAUGCAAAGUAUAUAACAGAUUUUGUAUAAGAUACAAAAAGGAGGUGAAAUAAAACUGAUGAUUAACUGCAUGCAUCUUAUGGCAAGUGUAUGCAUCUAACAAUAUUGUUUCAAUAAAAUCAGAGUAACAAAAGAAAAUGCUUUAACUGAUACGUAAUUCUAAUUUAUUUUGUAGAAUAUUAUGCCAACAGUUUUAAAUCGUUAUUGUUUAAACCUGCAUAUGAACCUUACUUGUAUAAUCUUAAAAUCAAGUUUCUUUUUACCUCCUUGAGUAAGUUUUCAAAAAUGUUUUGUCAGUUUUUCCAAACUGUAAAUGAUAUGUCUUGUAAAUUCGGUUGCACAAAUGUUACGUUGACUAUUUGGAUUAAUCAUAAUUCUGUUAAAACUUUUUAAAAUUCCCAUGGAAUUAAAUCCGAAGACCAGUUGAACACAGUAAAGAUACCUUAUCUUCUUGUCCUCUGUUCCUAUCCAUCUUAAAGUGUCUAGAACACAUAGGACUAGUUUUGGCUGAGUAUACCUCAUCCACCUUUUCCAGGCAAUACACCAGAUAAAAUUUGUAAUUAAUCACUGACACAUUUUGUCUGAUUAGUAAUCAGUGAGAAAUUUUGAUUUAGAUAUUCUUUCAAAUUUCAUAUUUUUGUGAGCAAAUUUUAAACAAGAUAUUCCUAUAAAUGAUUUUGAUAAUAAUUUUUGCAGAAGUGAAUCAGGUGAACCUUGCUAAAUAGGUUACCAUCACUUUUUUUCAUUCAACUUCAGCAUAAGACAUCUUUCCAAUACCUCCAAGUAAUUUACCUCAAAUGGCUCUUGGACGUAUGCCUCACCAACAAAGGCGGACAAAUUAAGAGCUGAAAUAUAAAAGAUGGAUGAAACACUAAUCUCCUCAGAAAUAUUACAAGACGCAGCAAUUCAAGGAGCGUUCCUGAAAAUUCGUAUGACAUCUGCGUUCGCUUAGUAUAUUAUUUUUUUUUUACUUCCCCAAUUUUUUGUGGUCAGAAAAACAAAAGAUGACUUCUAGAAACUAAACGCCGCUUCUAAUGCAGUAUUUUAAGCUGUGAUGUUUUAUUGAUUUUGAGUAUUACUAAAACUAUACUUACAAACGAUUACUAUUAAAUCUAUCCUUACCUAUGAAUGUUUUAUGAGUAGUGUUUAAAUUAUUCUUUAUUGUUGCAUAAUUUUAUCAGUUUUCUUCAAAUAAGCAUACCACUGUAGUUUCAUAACUUUUGUAAAUGUGCCCUUUUUCUCUAAUGUAUUAAAAUAGUUUACUUAUAUUUCAGCAUAAUAAAAUUUGGUAUCAUUUGUAUAGUUUAAUUUUCAAGAACUUUUUAUAAGUUUCAAGGAUUUAUAAUAAUCCUUCACUUUUGUUUGACUGAUCAGGUAUAGUAUUUAAUCAAAAUGACAAAAAGCUGCAUCCUGCCAGUAGAAGAAAUAAUUUUCUUUAAAGGAUUUUUCAAUGUCUACAGUAAAAUAUUCAAGAAUUUCUUCAUACAUUUUUCGAAUUUAUUCUGUCGUACUCUAUGAUUCCCAUGACCAACUCUGUGUUCACGACGAUAGUGGCUGAAUGGUAUUGUGCAUUCUAUGUCAAAAGUUUCUUGUUUAAGACACCAGAUGCGUAUAUCUUGUCAUCUAUAGGAGAUAUAUACUUUUAGCUUUAAAAAAUAUUCUUAUCAGCCCUCUUGACCUCAGGACAGACUUUGCCUGAAGCUCACUUUAUUAGACUCUCCAUUGAAGUCUUCAGCAGAAUUUUGCUUCGGUUUUUUUCUCUAUUAUUUUGAAAACAUCGGUUAUUCAAAAAUAUUAUCAUAGUAUUCUAUUUCAUAUAAUAUUCCAUUUUAUUUUAUAAUGGAAUCAUAGUGUUCUUUGAGAGAAUUAUUAAUUAUUUAAGAGCAAAUUAUUAAACCUGAUCUUUUUGUGCAUA
This 4439-nucleotide unclassified non-coding RNA is filed under the name Stegodyphus dumicola. Its description in RNAcentral is "ethanolamine kinase 2-like, transcript variant X2". The record is from RNAcentral. Lineage: Eukaryota; Metazoa; Arthropoda; Arachnida; Araneae; Eresidae.